RNAcentral lists this long non-coding RNA (3606 nucleotides) under Gouania willdenowi (blunt-snouted clingfish). RNAcentral's name for it is "lncRNA (ENSGWIG00000016913.1)". Lineage: Eukaryota; Metazoa; Chordata; Actinopteri; Blenniiformes; Gobiesocidae. The record is from RNAcentral.
AUGGCUGCAAACAACCCUCAUUUGACAAAGAAGCGAAACUCUCGAUGUGCGCUGGGCAGAUCCAUUAUCAAACGCAUUGCUGAGAUCCCAGAGGCCAUCAGUCGACAGAGCAGUCGAGAAGAAAGAGACGGAUCCAUCCGCAGUAGAGGUGGGAAUCAUACUGACUCUUUUAGGAGGUCCCCAGAUACUGUCAGCAUCUCUUACAGAAGCUCAAUGAGAUCACCAAUGCCAUCGCCUACACCAUCACUGCGCAAGUCUUACAGUGACCAUCACUCUGUCACUGCGAGGCAAUCCUCCUUUCAUGGCUUGAUGUUAGGACCUAAUUCUAUCAAGAGAGCUUCCCAUCUUUCCGAGACCGACUCCUUGGAUAUUCCAGCAGGGGUCUGCAAGUCAGCCAGUGCCCAGAAUCUGACUAUUGAUACUAAUCUCCUGCACCCCGAUCAUACAAGAAUUUAUAAAACGUGGAGCUUGAUCUCUACUUCCACACAUUCUAUUGAGAAUAUAGCUAAGAUUAGCAGAGCCAACACAAUGCACUCAAGUCUUUCUAUUAGUGACCAAACCAAAAGUGCUCUCCAGUCCGGGUCGUUUGAUAAGGCUGAAGUCUGUCCUUGGGAAGUGGAGCAAGAACAAUCAAGUGACAAGAACCAGAGACAUGUCUCAUAUGCAAAUUCUGUGGAAAAUGAAGAGAAACAGCCCACGUCACCACAGGGAAUUAUCUGUCCAUGGGACCAUUUACCACCUUUAGAAAGAAAUCCAUCAGAAACAGAGUCAUUUAAACCACAGGCUCCUGUUUCUGCGAGUGCUCCAGGAUCUCCGAGACCAAGGGUCACCAAGGAUCAGCGAGUUUUCUCCUUCCGUUCUCCCACUUCUAAGUGGCUUUCUGUGAAAUCAUUUAUGGGAUCCUUGGAUGCAGGAAACAAUGUGCCCAAAGACAGCAAUUCUAACAAAGACGAUUCCUGCUCUCAAAAAAGUCAGGAAAGUACAAAAUCUAGAACAUCCAAUAGACAUCCAAGCAUAGAAAAAAGGUCACUGCAGAAAAGAAGCAUGACAACUGUAGAGGGUAAACCAUGCCUGGUAAAGCAAAAUGCAAUCAGGCUGUCCUCUGGGGAUUCCAUGGACAGAAGUCCACGAAGACUUGUCAUUGUAAAAUCUGGCAUCUACCCUUGGGAUGUGGAUGAUAUGCAAAAAGAUAAUACCUAUGAAAAUGUGUUUUUGUCAAGGCAGAAUAGUAAACGCAGCAUUAGCUCUUGGGAGACAUCCUGCAGUGCUAGAACCCCAUCCACUCACAGAAGAGUGAGUAAUAGAAUAACACCAAUCCAACAAGUUUCUCACAUAGAUGUUUGCCCAUGGGAUGUACCUGGUACCCUCCAGCAAGAAGAAAAACAACAGCAACAGCAAAGUAUCAAAGCAGAUAUCUGCCCAUGGGAAUCGCAGGUGUCCAAUAUUUGUCCUUGGCAAACUCCAGAGAAAGUUGAUUUGCAAGGAGAAGGCAGUGGUAGUGACGAUGUGCAUUCUUGGAAAUCACAAGACACUUGUAGUAGUUCACAAACAAAUGUUUCAAAAAACACACUGACACAAAAGUCUUCUCAAAAAAAAUCAGACAUUUGUCCUUGGGAGGCUGAAGAAUCUGCUCAGACUUUAAAAGCACCAGAUUCCCAUUAUGCAACUAUCUGCCCUUGGGAUGAUAAAGAAAAGACUGAAGUUGUAUAUGAAAACUUAAAUCUUUUGACAAACAAAGGAACAUUAACAGUGCCAUUGCAACAAGAAGUAAACAAGUCUGCAAUCUAUCCCGGAGCACCAAAAGAAAUUCUAAGCAACAUGCAACAAUAUCCUUCAAUAUCACCUGCAGUUGCUACUUGGGGCAAGCAGGCUGCCAAGACAACAGAAAGUUGUCCUUGGGAGUUUCCUGAUCCUCCCAAAAUCUUGGAAGAUAUCUGUCCAUGGGAAGAGGAAAACACAGAAACAAGGACUUCAGAAAGCCCAAGAGUAAAUGUAUGUCCAUGGGAAUCAGAAAGCCAAAUACAAGCAAAGCCAGAGACUUUGCAAAUAAUCCAGAGCCAAGCAAAGCAAGACACCGCUAGCGUAGAUGUGUCUCCACAGGAAAAUGAAAAUCCUAAAACUAUAAAGCAACAGACCCCAAAAACAUUUGACAAUCAUGCAAGCCAAGACACAUCUCGAGCUGAUGUUUGUCAAACGGAAAUGGAAAAAUCAGAAAUCCAAAAAACAGAGACUCCCAAAACCUCACAGAAUCCCGCUAGGCAAGACACAACUUGGGGAAAUGUUUGUCCGUGGGAGACAGAAAACACUCUAUCAGAAAAACUAGAGUCUCCCAAAAAGUUGGAGAGUUUUAGAAGGCAAGACACAACCCAAGAAGAUGUUUGUCCAUGGGAUACUGCGAAACCUGAGACUUUUAAAACCUCACAGAGUCACUUAAGACAAGACACAGCUCGGGUAAAUGUUUGUCCGUGGGAAACAGAUGAAACAGAACUAGUAAAAACUGAAGUAUCAGAACCAUCAGAGAAGCUUCAGAGACAGGAAACCACUCAAAAAAACAUAUCUGAAAAACCAGAGUUUUCAAAAAAGUCAGACAGUCUUAGAAGGCAAAUCACAGGCCGAGAAGAUGUUUGUCCAUGGGACACUGAGGAACCUGACACCUUGAAAACAUUACCGAGUCACUUAAGUCAAGAAAAGGCUCGGGUAAAUGUUUGUCCAUGGGAAAUAGGUGAAGUAGAAGAAGUCAAAACUGAAGUAUCAGAACCAUCAGAGAAGCUUCAGAGACAGGAAACCACUCAAAAAAACAUAUCUGAAAAACCAGAGCUUCCAAAAAAGUCAGAGAGUCUUAGAAGGGAAAUCACAGGCCGAGAAGAUGUUUGUCCAUGGGACACUGAGGAACCUGACACUUUGAAAACAUUACAGAGUCACUUAAGUCAAGACACAGCUCGGGCAAGUGUUUGUCCGUGGGAAACAGAUGAGGACGAAAUAGUCAAAACUGAGGUAUCAAAACCCCCAGUGAAGCUACAAAGACAAGGAACCCCCCAUGAAGAUAUUUGUCCAGGGGAAACAGAAACCCCAAAACCAUUUAAAAAACAAGAUGGCUCUCAAGCAGAUGUAUGCCCCUGGGAGGGGCUAUCUCAAUCAGAGGACACAAAAAGUGCAAAAAAGCAAGAUAGUAUUAGAGAAGAUGUCUGUCCAUGGGAGACAGAGGAACCGAACAUUACAAAAAAACAAGAAAGUGUUCGAGCAAACAUUUGUCCAUGGGAGAGUGAAGAAUCAGAGAUUGUCAAAAAGCAAGACAUCACAAUAGCAGAUGAAGACAGUGCUAAUGUACAAAGCAGUAGCAAACAUGAAGAGAACUGGAUGCCUGCUGAUGUGGAAGCAACUCCAGCAGCCGUGACCACAGAGCAGACGGAGGAGUUUAAAUCAAACUUGGCCCUGGGUCGGCGUGAUGCUUUGUGUCCUUGGGAGAUGGCAAGAAGCAGAUCCAGCUCCUUUACAGACAAUAACUCAGAUGUCUUUACAUGGGAGCCUGAAAAUAUUCCAGAGGAAGAUGAAGAGGAUGAUGCAGAGUGUGCAGCUGAGGCUCUGGUUUUCCCUCCUGAUUUCUGA